RNAcentral lists this transfer RNA (111 nucleotides) under Candidatus Aenigmatarchaeota archaeon. Its description in RNAcentral is "tRNA-OTHER". It matches the Rfam family "tRNA". Rfam says of the family: Transfer RNA (tRNA) molecules are approximately 80 nucleotides in length. Lineage: Archaea; Nanobdellati; Candidatus Aenigmatarchaeota. The record is from RNAcentral.
GGGCCGGUAGCUCAGUUAGGUAGAGCGCCAACGGUAGGCGUAAGUCUUAUAUGGCUAGCGCUCGUACACUAGGAUAACUGGUGGUCAAGGGUUCGAAUCCCUUCCGGCCCA